Molecule: long non-coding RNA, 224 nt
Filed under: Nicotiana benthamiana
Lineage: Eukaryota; Viridiplantae; Streptophyta; Magnoliopsida; Solanales; Solanaceae
Description: long non-coding RNA (NBEN_LNC017258)
Source: RNAcentral
UUAUUUAUUGUAGUUACUGUCUGAUAUUAUUGCAUGCUAUUUUAUUAAUGGUUCUUAUGUUUAGAUAAUUAUUUAUGUUAUUUCUGCUGGACUUACUAUUCUCUCCUUCACUGAGCCGAGGGUCGAUUGGAAAUAGCCUCUCUACCCUUUCGGGUAGGGGUAAGGCUCGUCUACAUAUUACCCUCCCCAGACCCUACUUUGUGGGACAUUACUGGGUAGUUGUU